Molecule: transfer RNA, 63 nt
Filed under: Pentapycnon charcoti
Lineage: Eukaryota; Metazoa; Arthropoda; Pycnogonida; Pantopoda; Pycnogonidae
Description: tRNA-Met
Source: RNAcentral
AAAAAAGUAAGCUAAAUUAAGCUAUUGAGUUCAUACCUCAAUUAUAGAUAAUUCUCUUUUUUA